RNAcentral lists this ribosomal RNA (406 nucleotides) under uncultured bacterium. RNAcentral's name for it is "partial 16S ribosomal RNA". It matches the Rfam family "Bacterial small subunit ribosomal RNA", at positions 30 to 526 of the family's 1533-position model. The record is from RNAcentral.
AUUGAACGCUGGCGGCAGGCCUAACACAUGCAAGUAGAACGUGUGGCGGACGGGUUAGUAAUGUCUGGGAAACUGCCUGAUGGCGGGGGAUAACUCCUGGAAACGGUAGCUAAUACCGCAUACCAUCAGAUGUGCCCAGUUUGGAUGAGCUAGUUGGUGGGGUAACGGGUCACCAAGGCGACGAUCCCUAGCUGGUCUGCGAGGAUGACCAGCCACAUGGGAACUGAGACACGGUCCAGGCUCCUACGGGAGGCAGCAGUGGGGAAUAUUGCACAAUGGGCGCAAGCCUGAUGCAGCCAUGCCGCUUGUAUGAAGAAGGCCUUCGGGUUGUAAAGUACUUGCAGCGGGGAGGCGUUACCCGCAGAAGAAGCACCGGCUAACUCCGUGCCAGCAGCCGCGGUAAUUC